This is a long non-coding RNA of Rhea pennata, 432 nucleotides long. RefSeq lists it as uncharacterized. Lineage: Eukaryota; Metazoa; Chordata; Aves; Rheiformes; Rheidae. The record is from RefSeq and is a predicted model, not a curated record. The transcript is spliced from 3 exons.
GCGGGAGCGGUGGGUUAAACUGUUCUGUGACACCGAGAGCAAUGUAGAGCUGUCAAAACCAUCGCUUACGUCCAAGAUGACACCGCAAAGCUGUUCCAUUUAUUUUUCCUGAUAUGUUGUGUUGUUCGAUACUGCAAUGUUGUCUCCCCUGACUUGGGAAGAAGCUAGGAAGAUUGAGCAAAAUUCUGUUGUUUUCACAAAGUAAGGAGAUCAUCAAAAAGAAAGUUAACUACCAAAUAUCCCCCAAGGUCCCUGUACAGCAACAUCAAGCGCAGCUGGGACAAACUGCUCCUGAAAGGCGGCAGCCUGUCGCUGCAGUGCCUAACCCGCGCGGCCACAUCAGUCGUGGGACCCCGGCACACUGUCGUCUGGCAAAUACCGUAACUCCGAACGUAAAUAAUAAUGUUUUACCGUCGGCCUUUUCUUCGGCUU